Heterocephalus glaber (naked mole-rat) is the source of this 536-nucleotide long non-coding RNA. NCBI's taxonomy places the organism in Eukaryota, Metazoa, Chordata, Mammalia, Rodentia, Bathyergidae. The record is from Ensembl.
CAGGAGACUAGGACUCACUGCAGAGGUUCUAGUAACGUCCCCUUUCCUUGUUCCCUACAACCCCUGCCUUGAAAAAUAAUAAAAUUUACAGCAGAAGCAUUUUAUCCAAGUCAAUUCUCUUCUCUGUGGUUGCUGGAUUCCAGGACCAGAUUUCCAUCUCUCCUGGAUGGAAGAAAUACUGGGCCUGUGAGUUGUGAUCCUUCCUGGGGUGUGGCUCACCUUGUGUCUCAGCCAGUCAUCUGACGCAUUUUGGCUUUCAUUUUAUCUGCAGCUGCUGAGAAGUGUGCAGCUUUUCUCCACCAUGCCCUUCAGCCUAAUGUUUCUGCCUUGGACCCAGCUGACCAUGGACUGAAACUGCUGAAACUGUGAGCCAAAAUAAAUUUUCUCUUCUAAUUUGACUUUUUCAGGUAUAUGGUCGCAGGACAAAAAUCUAAUAUAGCAGUACUUUUCAAAGCAUGUUCAAAUACAUUAUCAAAUUGCAACCACAGCUGUCUUACUGUUAUAGAGUAGAAAGGUGAGCAAGAGUUAAUAUUCAG